RNAcentral lists this long non-coding RNA (717 nucleotides) under Ananas comosus (pineapple). Its description in RNAcentral is "long non-coding RNA (ACOM_LNC037156)". The record is from RNAcentral. Lineage: Eukaryota; Viridiplantae; Streptophyta; Magnoliopsida; Poales; Bromeliaceae.
AUUGAGAGAGAGAGAGAGAGAGAGAGAGAGCUUGGUUAAAUGUAUUGAUGUGGUUUUUAUAGGAUAUAUACAAAUAAGGGUUUUUUUUUAAAAAAAAAAGGGUAAUUGCUUAUAUACCCUGAAAAAUUUUCGAUUUUCUGAUUUAUCCUUCUUAGAAGGCUAAUAUUGAAAAUACUUUUUUUACGUUCCAACAUAUUUCAAAUAUACUCCUAGAGUUAAAUUUUAUUAAUGAACUGUUAACGAUAGCUGUUAUCCGUAUGAAAUUACUAUUUUGUCCUUUUCAAUAUGCCCUUCCACUAUCAUUCAUUUUUCUUAUUUGCCCUUAAGUUAGGGGUACAAAAAGUAUUUUGAUUUUUUAUCUUUUCAAAUAUACCCUUCUACCAUCACCAAUAUUUCUUAUUUGCUAUUAAGUUAAGAACAAAAGAGACAUUUUGAUUUUUUUAAACUCUAACAGAUAUUUAACUCACGUUUAAUCCAAGUUAACUUAACGGUUGGUAAUUAUAGAAAUAUUUUGGAAUAACGGAGAAACAUAUGAGUAAUAUAUUAGAAAAAAAAAAAAGUAGGGAUAAAUAAGAUAGUUCUGAAGUUUUGAAGGGUAUAUAAGUAAUUAUUCCUAAAAAAAAAGUAUUUAGGGGGAGAGAGAGAGAGAGAGGAGAGAGAAAAGGUGGUGGAAGGAGUGUCAUGUGUGUGGCUGUGCAUUUAUUAGUAACUGAAAAA